RNAcentral lists this long non-coding RNA (2712 nucleotides) under Sus scrofa (pig). RNAcentral's name for it is "lncRNA (ENSSSCG00015074037.1)". Lineage: Eukaryota; Metazoa; Chordata; Mammalia; Artiodactyla; Suidae. The record is from RNAcentral.
AGACUCCGCAGAGCGCCUCCCGGAGCCGGCGGGUGGGAGCCCGAGUCUCCAGCUCUCCGGGCUCGCGUGGCUCCUCGCUGGGAAAAGAGGGGGUCCCCUGCGGGCACAGGGCCGUCGCCGGAGGGGGUCCGCUGCGGCGCGGGGCUGCUGGGCGGCUGCCCCAACACGUCCGGAGGCCCCGCGAGAUUCCAGCCGUCGCAGCCCCUGGAGCCACCGGAGCGGAGGCAAGGCCGCCCCGGGGCCGGGAGCCUCGAACCGAGCGGCGCCGCCCGACGGUGUUCGGGGUCCCCCUUCGUGAGCGGCAUUCCUGACGCCGGUGACUGAACCCCGACCGGACUCAGUGGCGCGACGGGCCACCUCGCAGGAAGGCGGCCGGACAAGGUAAGGCCCGGGGCCAACCCCCGUCGGGUCCUGCCGGGCGGGCGGGCGGAAGAGGGCACCGAUCACCGCCGCUCCCGUGGGCAGCUGUGCCUGAGCGAGCAGCAGCCCCCGUGCUCCGGAUGGGAAGCAGAGGAACCGCUUGCUCGGGUGGAGCCCCGCAGGUGGAGCCCACUGAAGGCGCUGCUUGCGCGGCUCCCGGCGAGGGGCUCCCAGGGAGCAGGGGCGCGAUAACCUCGGAGUGUGUGUGAGGCCGAAGGGCGGCCUGAUUCGCUUGCGCGUCAGGGUCCCGUUUGUGGCUCCACGUCUCAGGGGCUGCGGAGUCCGAGGGGGUCCUGCCCUGCACUUCCGUGGUGACCUCAUUCGGCUUCUGGCUGAAGCGGACACUGGCUGGCGGUUCUCUUCCCGCCCUGCGAGUCCAGUCCGUGUUCGGGCUGAUACGAACCAGCCAGGGGCUGAGAGGCACCUAAACUCCCGAGAGGGGGCGGGCAGGCGGACAUCUGAAUGGCCACCUUCUGAGAAGGGGGCGUCCUCCCUUGUUUUGUCGGGACACCGGCACGGGGCGGCCACAUGGGGUGGGACCUAACCCCGAAGCCCACGCGCCAGAGACCGCUUGCUCCCGCCAUUUGGGCCAUUAAUUCCUCCGGGGAGAUCGUCUAACCUGACCUCGCCCCUGGGCCUCCAGGAACUCCCGGCCCAGAUUCUAAACCAGCCGUAGGACUGCCCAUUUUGUCAGUUCACGGAGGCCCAGGAUCUGAGUCAGGGAGACAGGACCGUCAUGCCCUGCUGCGUUCAGGGUAUAGGGAGGAUUGGGUAUGAGGCCCCCUGUCCUUUGUCCAAACAUUAGAACUUGUCUGAGAGUGCCUUCCCCAGACCCGGGGCCAGUGACACGUGCAGCAAAGCAGCUGCUCUCCCCGGCCAUAGAGGGAGCUGAGUGGCAGCUGUCUUGCUUACAGGAAUGGCCGAGGCAACGCUACUGGGGAUCCCACCCAUGAAGUCAGAGGUCUCAUAACAUCAGGCCACAGACAAGAUCCACAGAAAGACGCCGUGGGUUUGCCCAAGUCUAAACCCAUGGUGCUAGACUGUGCGAUCAAAGACUUCAAAAAGGGGUUUUCUGAAGAUUAAGGUGUAAACUAACCUGAUCUUUCAUCAUUUCCUUUGCUAUUACCUCAAAUAGAGCUGUGGGGGCAAGGGAACCAGACCUCUAGAUGUUAAGACCACCCUGAGUUGGUCCCAGGCCUUGGGGGGAGAAGGCGUUCCUAACAUAUUCAUCCAACUUAAGCCAAGUGUUUGGCCUCAGAGCCUGGGCAUGUCAAUUUUGCUUCUUGCUGUUUACUUUCACCCUGGUUGGAGAAAUCCACGGCUGGUUCAUCCAAUUUGCCUGUUAAUGUGGCUUAGAAACGUCCCUAAUAUUAAUAGAGGGCAUGUCAGAGCGAGCCUCUUAGGAUGCGAACACCCAGGGCAGGGCCUGUACGCCUGGGUUUUCUUCGCCUCUGUCCAGAGACAGGCAGCGGGCAGGGACGGCGGGAAGAGCGGCUGCGCUGGGAAAGAUGGUUCAUUCCAGGCAGCCUGAGGUCGGAUGGGACGUUUGACCACUAAUGCCCAGCUGCUCCCUCCAAGAGAGGGGACGCCCUCACAUAACCACGAAGGGACAAUAGGCACUGGGUGCUGAUCUUUUCUCUUUUUCGAAUGGGAGCCACCUCCUCAAGCCUGGUGCAUGGCUCAAUAGCAACUCCUCUGAUGUGUGCCUUGAUGAACUGCAAAAAUUUUGGCCCUGAGACUCUGAAAAAGAAACGUUUAAUUUUCUUUUGCACAAAAGCCUGGCCACUACAUAACCUGUCAGAUGGAGAGCGAUGGCCAUCUGAAGGCUCUCUAGCUGAUAAUACUCUUCUCCAGCGAGACCUGUUUGGUAGACGAGGCGGGGAAUGGUCAGAGGUGCCUCGUGUCAGAUCUUUACAGUGAGGGGAGACGCUACACCAAGGAAGGCUUGCGGACUUUCUCAGUGGGUUAUGCCAACCCCCUCAGGACCUAGGCGCCCACCACAUCCUGGCCCAGCUGGGUCAGACCCUCCAGAAGCGAAUCAGCCUUCUCCAACACCGCCCAAGGCGCCUCCUCUUCCCGCUCCAGUGCCAAAGUUAUAUCCCUCUGUACUCCCUUUACAGGAAGCAGCAAACAGAAUGGGGACCAAAUACAGGUCCAUAUGCCUACUUCACUUCAGGACUUAGGGCGAAUAAAAACAGAUAUGGGAAAAUUUGCUGAUGACCCAGAUAUAUCGAGGUCUUUCAGGGUCUCAUGCAGUCCUUUGAGUUAGCCUGGGAGGAUGUCAUGUUAUUA